UCAAUAUCUCAUAAAUAAGCAUUGGUAAAUAACUCAUACAUAAGUGUACUCUAAAUCUAAACUAAAAUACUAAUUGAAAAACUUGGUCAUCAACUGUUUACGCUAAUGUUGAGCCUAACUAAAUAUAUAUGAAUUCAAGUCUCCACACAUGUGUGGCCAUCAAAAUUUGAGUUUCAUUCCAUCUUUUCCUGUACAACAAAUAGAAGAAGGCAAUAAUUAGUAGUUAGACACAUUUGAAUACCUCGUAUUGUGGCAUCUAACAAAGGUCACAUGGAUGUGUAAAAAAAGGAUAGAAUAAUGCUACAUUUUGCAUCUGUCAAAAGAACUUACCUUUUCUAGAACUUUGCUGGAAGCAGGCGUGCUGACAAUUAAUGUGACAAUCAUUUUUUGUCACAUUUGAGCAAAACUUGCAUUUGGGUCAAGUAUAUUUAACAGACCAAGAAAUAGUAUCUGAAGAAGCAUUCGACACACUUCCAUCCUAUUAAAAAUAACCAAGGAAUUAGUCAGUAUUGAUGUCGACAUGUGGUACAUGAUCUUGUACUAUUGAAGAUACCAAUAUAUUGUAUGUUUUCCACAAAACUGAUCUUUAACCUAAAAAUUAUAUCAAAGACACCCAUCUAUUAUCGACGAAUUCAAAAUAAUGCACAGAAAAACUGCUAAUCAGCAAGUGAGAAACAAGUGCACGUCAAUCUCAGCAAAGGAGAUCACCUUAAAAGUAACAAGAACCAAAUAGGUAAAAGAUAUUAUAGCAACUCUAAGUUGGAUCUAUCUCUCAAAUGACACAUGUUAAUUUUGUCAUUCCUAAAAUCAAGUCAUAGACAUCAAAUUUACAAUAAACAAAAUUUAUGGUACUUUAAUUUUUAGCUUCUUCUAUUUUGCUUGCUACCAUCCUAUACCUUACUCACACAUAGUGAGAUUUUUCCUGCAAUAAGUGUUUUCACCACUUAACGUACUAUACUACUAUAGCAUGUACUGUUUGUUACUAUGCAAACCUGCAAAGGCGUCAUCAGUUAAUGAUAAUUAGGUAGUAGUACUAUAUAAAACAUGUCAAAGCUAGAAGACAUGUUUUCUAUUUUUUCCUACCGCCGACACCGUUUAGUGCUAGUUUGGGAGCCACAAAACCGAAGAGUAUUGAAGGGGCUAAAUUCGCUUCUUAUUCAAUUUUGAAUAAGAAGAAGAUUUUAGCCCCUCCAAUCCCCUCCGAUUUUGUAGUUCCCAAACUAGCCCUGGGGCAAAGUUUUUUUUUCUUUUGUGAUCCUAAAGGGCAGCAAGCUUGUAGAUUUUUUUUACAAUCACCCAUUGAACACAGUUAUAUUACUAUUGCUAUUAUCAUUGAUGUUACAGGUUGGUAACCUUGUGUCACUGUUAUAGAUCUUCUGUGCUAAGACGUUUUGAUUCUAUUUCAAGAUACAACAAUUGGCAUAAGUAUAUUGUAAACUCAGAGGUUGGAAGUUGGAUGUUAGGGCCUAAGUAGGCCCACGGAGGGGCUGCGGCAGCAGCCACCAUGGGCCCUCCAAGGGAGAUUAGAUAAGGAUAGUUAGAGAUAAGAUUAGAAGAUUAGUUGAGAUUAUUUAGGAGAUUAGUUGAGAUUAUCUAGGAAGGUUAUAAGUUAGUUUGUUGAGAGAUUUUAGGAGAGUUUUAAGGAGAUAAGGAUAAAUAGCUAGAUAGGGGCGGCCAGUCGGCCUAUUUAUGUAAUCAAUGGAUGAGACAUAAAGCAGGCAAGAAUUAGAAGGGAGAAACCCUCCUCUUGCUCGGCCAUGGGCAGAGGCCCCCGGCCGACGUUUCCUGCCCAUCGAUACCCCUCUCCAAUCCCUCACCAAUCUAGCGACCAUAACAUCUGGUAUCGGCUAGCUUGGAUUUCGAUCUGAUCCCAUGGCUUCUGUUGCCAAUUUCGCAGCGUCAUCCUGGCAACCGGCAUCCCCAUCUCCAUGGACUGCGCCGCAUCUCACCUUCGUCACGCCGUCCUGGCAACCGACGUCCCCAUCUCCAUGGGCUGCGUUGUAUGCCACCUUCGUCACGCCAUCCUGGCAACCGGCGUCCCCAUCUCUAUGGGCAGCAUCGUCUACCAAUUUUGUCACCACAUCCUGGACACUGGCGUGCCCAUCUCCAGGGACAACGCCAAAUUUCGUCACAUCAUCUUCGUUGACGGCGUCUCCAUCCCCAUGGGCGACGCCACUAGGGGCAACCACGGCUCAGCAAUCACCAGCUCCAUCGAUGGGGGGCUUAUGGACCAACAUAAGGGCUGAUCUCGCAAAUAUGCAAGCCACGCUACAGAAGGUUGAGCAAGGGCUGGUGCAAAUCAAGAUAGCAGUGCCACAUGAGCAGCACCAGCUGGCGUUGUCCGCACGGCUCCAGACGUCGGCGGCUGUGGGCAUACAAGUUGCUGCUCGUGGCUUCCUUGCACAACGUAGAGUGUAGGAGAUGCGUCGGCAGAUGCUCGAGGCAGCCUUGGUGACGGUUGACCUCAGCACACGGGGGCGCGACCUCGCCCUGUCGGACGACCAUCAGCAGCGGCACCGGGCCGCUAUCUCAAAAUGCGAGCAUGGUACGUGUCCCGCGGGCGACGAACUUCAACUCUACGGCAGUAGCGGUAAGGAAGGCACUCCCCUCGUCAUCGGCAAGGGCGCACUAUUUAGCGUCACCACAUUCCGCUACCGGCCGCCACGAGGGCGCCUCCGCUGGUUAUUGUUGCUACCUAUUUCAGGUGCCUGUCCAUAUGCUCCCUUUCGUUUAGAUGGUGUCCAUGGGAUCUAGGUGGCUGCACACGUGCAAGUCCAAUACGCGGAGGGUGUCCACCUUAUCUUAUAGGGUCAAAAAAUCAUAUUUGGAAUAAUAAGAUAAGUCGAGAUGUAAAAGGCUUGUCUUCUAGGUGUCUGGUUUUGGGUCAAGUAGACUCGGUCUUUGAGUACCCGUCAUGUUGCAGCUCGAGGACGAGCUACUUGUCCAGGAGGGGUGUAGUGUCAGGGCCUAAAGAGGCCAAAGGAGGGGCUACGGCAGCAGCAACCAUGGGCCCUCCAAAGGGAUUAGAUAAGGAUAAUUAGAGAUAAGUGUCAGGGCCUAAAGAGGCCCACGGAGGGGCUGCGGCAGCAGCAACCAUGGGCCCUCCAAAGGGAUUAGAUGAUAAUUAGAGAUAAGUUUAGAAGAUUAGUUGAGAUUAUCUAGUAGAUUGGUUGAGAUUAUCUUGGAAGAUUAUCAAUUAGUAGUUUGUUGAGAGUUUUUAGGAGAUUUUUAAGGAGAUAAGGAUAAAUAGCUAGAAAGGGGCAGCUAGCCGGUCUAUUUAUGUAAUCAAUGGAUGAGAAUUAAAGCAGGCAAGAAUUAGAAGGGAGAAACCCUCCUCUUGCUCGGCCAUGGGCAGAGGCCCCCGGCCGGUGUUCCUACCUAUUGAUACCCCUCUCCAAUCCCUCAUCGAUCUAGCGAGCAUAACAACUGGUAUCAGAUAGCUUGGGUUUCGAUCUGAUCCCAUGGCUUCUGCUGCCAAUUUCGCGGCGUCAUCCAGGCGAUCGAUGUCCCCAUCUCCAUGGACUGUGCCUCAUGUCACCUUCGUCAUGCUGUCCUGGCAACCGACGUCCCCAUCUCCAUGGGCUGCGCCGCAUGCCACCUUCGUCACACCAUCCUGGCAACAGGCAUCCCUAUCUCCAUGGGCAGCAUCGCCUGCCAAUUUUGACACCACAUCCUGGACGCCGGCGUGCCCAUCCCUAGGGACAAUGCCAAAUUUCGUCACAUCAUCUUUGUUGACGACGUCUCCGUCCCCAUGGGCGACACCACUAGGGGCUACCAUGGCUCAGCAAUCACCAGCUCCAUUGAUGGGAGACUUGUGGACCAACAUAAGGGCUGAUCUCGCAAAGAUGUAAGCCAUGCUCCAGAAGGUUGAGCAAGGGCUGCUACAAAUCAAGGCAGCAGUGCAACAUGAGCAGCACCAGCUGGCGUUGUCCGCAUGGCUCAAGACGUCGGCGGCUGUGGGCAUACAAGCUGCUGCUUGUGGCUUCCUUGCAUGACAGAGAGUGCGAGAGAUGCACCGACAGAUGCUCAAGGCAGCCUUGGUGACGGUUGACCUCGGCACACGGGGGCGCGACCUUGCCCUGUCGGACGGCCAUCAGCAGCGGCACCAGGCCGCUAUCUCUAAGUGCGAGCAUGGUACGUGUCCUACGGGCAACGAACUUCAACUCUACGGCAAUGAUGGUAGGGAAGGCACUCCUCUCGUCAUCGGCAAGGGCACACUAUUUAGCGCCACCACAUUCUGCUACCGGCCGCCACGAGGGCGCCUCCGCUGGUUAUUGUUACGACCUACUCCAGGUGCCCAUCCAUGUGCUCCCCUUUCAUCCAGAUGGCGUCCAUGGGAUCUAGGUGGCUGCACACGUGCAAGUCCAAUGCGCGGAGGGUGUCCACCUUAUCUUAUAGGGUCAAAAAAAAUCAGAUUUGGAAUAAUAAGAUAAGUCGAGAUGUAAAAGGCUUAUCUUCUAGGUGUCUGGUUUUGGGUCAAGUAGACUCGGUCUUUGAGUACCCAUCAUAUUGCAGCUCGAGGACGAGCUGCUUGUCCAGGAGGGGUGUAGUGUCAGGGCCUAAAGAGGCCCACGGAGGGGCUGCGGCAGCAGCAACCAUGGGCCCUCCAAAGGGAUUAGAUAAGGAUAAUUAGAGAUAAGAUUAGAAGAUUAGUUGAGAUUAUCUAGUAGAUUGGUUGAGAUUAUCUAGGAAGAUUAUCAAUUAGUAGUUUGUUGAGAGUUUUUAGGAGAGUUUUAAGGAGAUAAGGAUAAAUAGCUAGAUAGGGGCGGCCAGCCGGCCUAUUUAUGUAAUCAAUGGAUGAGACAUAUAGCAGGCAAGAAUUAGAAGGGAGAAACCCUCCUCUUGCUCGGCCAUGAGCAGAGGCCCCGACCGAUGUUUCCUGCCCAUCGAUACCCCUCUCCAAUCCCUCACCGAUCUAGUGACCAUAACAUCUGGUAUCGGCUAGCUUGGGUUUCGAUCUGAUCCCAUGGCUUCUGUUGCCAAUUUCGCGGCAUCAUCAUGGCAACCGGCAUCCCCAUCUCCAUGGACUGUGCUGCAUCUCACCUUCGUCACGCCGUCCUGGCAACCGACGUCCCCAUCUCCAUGGGCUGCGUUGUAUGCCACCUUCGUCAUGCCAUCCUGGCAACCGACGUCCCCAUCUCUAUGGGCAGCAUCGUCUACCAAUUUUGUCACCACAUCCUAGACACCGGCGUGCCCAUCUCCAGGGACAACGCCAAAUUUCGUCACAUCAUCUUCGUUGACGACGUCUCCAUCCCAAUGGGCGACGCCACUAGGGGCAACCACGACUCAGCAAUCACCAGCUCCAUCGAUGGGGGACUUGUGGACCAACAUAAGGGCUGAUCUCGCAAAGAUGCAAGCCACGCUACAGAAGGUUGAGCAAGGGCUGCUGCAAAUCAAGGUAGCAGUGCAACAUGAGUAGCACCAGCUGGCGUUGUCCGCACGGCUCUAGACGUCGGCGGCUGUGGGCAUACAAGCUGCUGCUCGUGGCUUCCUUGCACAACAUAGAGUGCGAGAGACGCGUCGGCAGAUGCUCGAGGCAGCCUUAGUGACGGUUGACCUCAGCACACGGGGGUGCGACCUCGCCCUGUCGGACAACCAUCAGCAACGGCACCGGGCCGCUAUCUCUAAGUGCGAGCAUGGUACGUGUCCCGCGGACGGUGAACUUCAACUCUACGGUAGCAGCGGUAAGGAAGGCACUCCCCUCGUCAUCGGCAAGAGCGCAUUAUUUAGCGUCACCACAUUCCGCUACCAGCCGCCACGAGGGCGCCUCCGCUGGUUAUUGUUGCGACCUAUUUCAGGUGCCUGUCCAUAUGCUCCCCUUUCGUUUAGAUGGCGUCCAUGGGAUCCAGGUGGCUACACACGUGCAAGUCCAAUGCGCGGAGGGUGUCCGCCUUAUCUUAUGGGGUCAAAAAAAAUUCAGAUUCAGAAUAAUAAGAUAAGCCGAGAUGUAAAAGGCUUAUCUUCUAGGUGUCUAGUUUUGAGUCAAGUACACUCGAUCUUUGAGCACCCAUCAUGCUGGAGCUCGAGGAUGAGCUGCUUGUCCAGGAGGGGUGUAGUGUCAGGGCCUAAGGAGGCCCAUGGAGGGGCUGCGGUAGCAGCCACCAUGGGCCCUCCAAGGGAGAUUAGAUAAGGAUAGUUAGAGAUAAGAUUAGAAGAUUAGUUGAGAUUAUUUAGGAGAUUAGUUGAGAUUAUCUAGGAAGGUUAUCAGUUAGUUUGUUGAGAGUUUUCAGGAGAGUUUUAAAGAGAUAAUGAUCUCUAGCUAGAUAGGGGCGGCCAACUGGCCUAUUUAUGUAUUCAAUGGAUGAGAAAUAAAGUAGGCAAGAACUAGAAGGGAGAAUCCCUCCUCUUGCUCGGCCGUGGGCAGAGGCCCCCGGCCGACGUUCCUACCCAUCGAUACCCCUCUUUAAUCCCUCACCGAUCUAGCGACCAUAUCAUUGGAACUAUAUAAACUAAUCUGAUGCUCUAUUAAAAAAUCGAGAUGGUAAUUGUAGACCAGAAUUAGCACCAAUCAAAGAAGAGAGGGGCAGAUAGCAUGCUCCUCACCUGAAUAAUCCGAAAGGGAGGACGAGCUCUUGGUGACCAUGAUUGUAUAAACUAAUCUGAUGCUCAAUUCAUAAAAAAAUUCGAGAUGAUAAUUGUAGACCAGAAUUAGCACCAAUCAAAGAAGAGAGGAGCAGAUAGCAUGCUCCUCACCUGAGUAAUCCGAAAGGGAGGAUGAGUUCUUGGUGAUGAGGACAUGGAGCUCCUCGAAAGGGGCAAGCCAACAUGGUUGCGCUUGCGGCCUGGAACAGCUCUGCAGCAUUGGAAGCGAUAGGAGAGGGCAUCACAGCUGGGAUGGCCGUAAAGGGAGGGCACCAACCGCCAGAGCCUCAUGCGCUGAAUUAGCAUGUCGUCGACCUCCAUGGCAGCAGGAACUCAGAUCGUAACCCCCAUAGCCUCAACCGCUGAAUUAGUGUAUCCUCGACCUCCAUAGCACCAGGAACUCAGAUCCGAGAUGAUGUAACCCUAGGAUUUCCUUUUCUAUCUGUGCGGGGGGGAGCCACGUCGAGGCGGCGGUCGCAUCGGCGUUUUGGAGCGGAGCGCCUGGGGGGCCAGGGGAGAGGGGGAUGCAGACUUCAUGAAGAUUCAUGGUAAAUGGAGACGCAGGCUACUGGGAGGACGUACGGAAACAUGCGGG
Molecule: long non-coding RNA, 7177 nt
Filed under: Zea mays
Lineage: Eukaryota; Viridiplantae; Streptophyta; Magnoliopsida; Poales; Poaceae
Description: long non-coding RNA (ZMAY_LNC001095)
Source: RNAcentral